UACGGAGGGGGCUAGCGUUGUUCGGAAUCACUGGGCGUAAAGGGCGCGUAGGCGGCUUUGUAAGUCGGGGGUGAAAGCCUGUGGCUCAACCACAGAAUUGCCUUCGAUACUGCAUGGCUUGAGACCGGAAGAGGUAAGUGGAACUGCGAGUGUAGAGGUGAAAUUCGUAGAUAUUCGCAAGAACACCAGUGGCGAAGGCGGCUUACUGGUCCGGUUCUGACGCUGAGGCGCGAAAGCGUGGGGAGCAAACAGG
RNAcentral lists this ribosomal RNA (253 nucleotides) under uncultured bacterium. RNAcentral's name for it is "partial 16S ribosomal RNA". It matches the Rfam family "Bacterial small subunit ribosomal RNA", at positions 524 to 776 of the family's 1533-position model. The record is from RNAcentral.